RNAcentral lists this ribosomal RNA (781 nucleotides) under uncultured Mycobacterium sp. RNAcentral describes it as "bacterial SSU rRNA". It matches the Rfam family "Bacterial small subunit ribosomal RNA", at positions 561 to 1340 of the family's 1533-position model. Lineage: Bacteria; Bacillati; Actinomycetota; Actinomycetes; Mycobacteriales; Mycobacteriaceae. The record is from RNAcentral.
UAAAGAGCUCGUAGGUGGUUUGUCGCGUUGUUCGUGAAAUCUCACGGCUUAACUGUGAGCGUGCGGGCGAUACGGGCAGACUUGAGUACUGCAGGGGAGACUGGAAUUCCUGGUGUAGCGGUGGAAUGCGCAGAUAUCAGGAGGAACACCGGUGGCGAAGGCGGGUCUCCGGGCAGUAACUGACGCUGAGGAGCGAAAGCGUGGGGAGCGAACAGGAUUAGAUACCCUGGUAGUCCACGCCGUAAACGGUGGGUACUAAGUGUGGGUUUCCUUCCUUGGGAUCCGUGCCGUAGCUAACGCAUUAAGUACCCCGCCUGGGGAGUACGGCCGCAAGGCUAAAACUCAAAGAAAUUGACGGGGGCCCGCACAAGCGGCGGAGCAUGUGGAUUAAUUCGAUGCAACGCGAAGAACCUUACCUGGGUUUGACAUGCACAGGACGCCGGCAGAGAUGUCGGUUCCCUUGUGGCCUGUGUGCAGGUGGUGCAUGGCUGUCGUCAGCUCGUGUCGUGAGAUGUUGGGUUAAGUCCCGCAACGAGCGCAACCCUUGUCUCAUGUUGCCAGCGGGUAAUGCCGGGGACUCGUGAGAGACUGCCGGGGUCAACUCGGAGGAAGGUGGGGAUGACGUCAAGUCAUCAUGCCCCUUAUGUCCAGGGCUUCACACAUGCUACAAUGGCCGGUACAAAGGGCUGCGAUGCCGCGAGGUUAAGCGAAUCCUUUUAAAGCCGGUCUCAGUUCGGAUCGGGGUCUGCAACUCGACCCCGUGAAGUCGGAGUCGCUAGUA